This 709-nucleotide ribosomal RNA is filed under the name uncultured bacterium. RNAcentral's name for it is "bacterial SSU rRNA". It matches the Rfam family "Bacterial small subunit ribosomal RNA", at positions 8 to 710 of the family's 1533-position model. The record is from RNAcentral.
AGAGUUUGAUCAUGGCUCAGAUUGAACGCUGGCGGCAUGCUUAAUACAUGCAAGUCGAACGGUAACAUACUCUUCGGAGUGAUGACGAGUGGCGGACGGGUGAGUAAUACAUAGGAAUCUACCUAGUAGUGGGGGACAACCUGGGGAAACUCAGGCUAAUACCGCAUGUUUCUUACGAGAUAAAGAGGGCCUCUUCUUGAAAGCUCUCGCUAUUAGAUGAGCCUAUGUCAGAUUAGCUAGUUGGUAGGGUAAAAGCCUACCAAGGCUACGAUCUGUAGCUGGUUUGAGAGGACGAUCAGCCACACUGGGACUGAGACACGGCCCAGACUCCUACGGGAGGCAGCAGUAGGGAAUAUUGGACAAUGGGCGGAAGCCUGAUCCAGCAAUGCCGCGUGUGUGAAGAAGGCCUGCGGGUUGUAAAGCACUUUUGUUUGGGAGGAAAAGCUUAAAGUUAAUACCUUUAAGUGUUGACGUUACCAAUAGAAUAAGCACCGGCUAACUCUGUGCCAGCAGCCGCGGUAAUACAGAGGGUGCGAGCGUUAAUCGGAAUUACUGGGCGUAAAGCGUGCGUAGGCGGUUAAAUAAGUCGGAUGUGAAAGCCCAAGGCUUAACCUUGGAAUUGCAUUCGAUACUGUUUAGCUAGAGUACAGUAGAGGGAAGCGGAAUUCCUAGUGUAGCGGUGAAAUGCGUAGAUAUUAGGAAGAACACC